UCUCUGGUGGUCCAAUAGUUAGGACCAGGCACUUACACUGCAGGGGGCCCAGGUUCGAUCCCUGGUCCAGGAA
RNAcentral lists this transfer RNA (73 nucleotides) under Capra hircus (goat). It matches the Rfam family "tRNA". Rfam says of the family: Transfer RNA (tRNA) molecules are approximately 80 nucleotides in length. Their secondary structure includes four short double-helical elements and three loops (D, anti-codon, and T loops). RNAcentral also lists the same sequence under 1 other name. Lineage: Eukaryota; Metazoa; Chordata; Mammalia; Artiodactyla; Bovidae. The record is from Rfam by way of RNAcentral.